RNAcentral lists this ribosomal RNA (917 nucleotides) under human gut metagenome. RNAcentral describes it as "bacterial LSU rRNA". It matches the Rfam family "Bacterial large subunit ribosomal RNA", at positions 1999 to 2925 of the family's 2925-position model. The record is from RNAcentral.
GCGUAACGAUUUGGGCGCUGUCUCAACCGUGGACCCGGUGAAAUUGUACUGUUCGUGAAGAUGCGAACUACCCGCGGAAGGACGGAAAGACCCCGUGAACCUUUACUGCAGCUUGGCAUUGGCAUCUGGUACGGCGCGUAGAGGAUAGGCGGGAGCCUUUGAAGCGGGGGCGCAAGCCCCCGUGGAGGCGACCUUGGAAUACCGCCCUCGUCGUGCCGGCUGCCUAACGCGCGGCCGUGAUCCGGCGCGCGGACCGUGCCAGGCGGGUAGUUUGACUGGGGCGGUCGCCUCCCAAAACGUAACGGAGGCGCGCGAAAGGUCCGCUCAGGACGGUCGGCAACCGUCCCGAGAGCGCAAGAGUGCAAGCGGGCUUGACUGCGAGAGAGACACCUCGAGCAGGGACGAAAGUCGGUUCUAGUGAUCCGGCGGCACAGAGUGGAAUGGCCGUCGCUCAACGGAUAAAAGGUACUCCGGGGAUAACAGGCUGAUCUUGCCCAAGAGUCCACAUCGACGGCAAGGUUUGGCACCUCGAUGUCGGCUCAUCGCAUCCUGGGGCUGGAGCAGGUCCCAAGGGUACGGCUGUUCGCCGUUUAAAGCGGUACGCGAGCUGGGUUCAGAACGUCGUGAGACAGUUCGGUCCCUAUCCUCCGCAGGCGCAAGAGGAUUGAGGAGGUCUGCCCCUAGUACGAGAGGACCGGGGUGGACGGACCUCUGGUGCAGCAGUUGUCGACCAACGGCACGGCUGCCUAGCUACGUCCGGCACGGAUAACCGCUGAAAGCAUCUAAGUGGGAAGCCGUCUCCAAGAUGAGUCCUCUUUCCGGUAAGGGCCCAGGCAGAACACCUGGUCGAUAGGCCGCAGGUGCAAGGCGUGCGAGCGCCUCAGCCGAGCGGUACUAAUAGCCCGAGCUCUUCUUCG